Molecule: long non-coding RNA, 258 nt
Filed under: Hordeum vulgare
Lineage: Eukaryota; Viridiplantae; Streptophyta; Magnoliopsida; Poales; Poaceae
Description: long non-coding RNA (HVUL_LNC009106)
Source: RNAcentral
UGAGAUGAUUCGUAGCAAGCAACAAGUAAAAAAAGUAGCAACGGUGCAGAAAAGUGGCCCAAUCCCUUUUGUAUCAAGGGACAAGCCUGGACAAAGUCUUAUAGGAGGAAAAACGCUCCCGAGGACACACGGGAAUUUCUGUGAUGCUAGUUUUCAUCAUGUUCAUAUGAUUCGCGUUCGUUACUUUGAUAGUUUGAUAUGUGGGUGGACCGGCGCUUGGGUACUGCCCUUACUUGGACAAGCAUACCACUUAUGAUU